CAAAGUGUAGCGCAGUCUGGUUAGCGCGGCUGUUUUGGGUACAGAGGGCCAUAGGUUCAAAUCCUGUCACCUUGA
RNAcentral lists this transfer RNA (75 nucleotides) under Pinus thunbergii (Japanese black pine). RNAcentral's name for it is "tRNA-Pro". It matches the Rfam family "tRNA". From Rfam's summary of the family: Transfer RNA (tRNA) molecules are approximately 80 nucleotides in length. Their secondary structure includes four short double-helical elements and three loops (D, anti-codon, and T loops). The record is from RNAcentral. Lineage: Eukaryota; Viridiplantae; Streptophyta; Pinopsida; Pinales; Pinaceae. RNAcentral also lists the same sequence under 7 other names.